Molecule: ribosomal RNA, 497 nt
Filed under: uncultured bacterium
Lineage: Bacteria
Description: partial 16S ribosomal RNA
Rfam family: Bacterial small subunit ribosomal RNA
Source: RNAcentral
GAUGAACGCUGGCGGCGUGCCUAAUACAUGCAAGUCGAGCGAACAGACGAGGAUCUUGCUCCUCUGACGUUAGCGGCGGACGGGUGAGUAACACGUGGAUAACCUACCUAUAAGACUGGGAUAACGUCGGGAAACCGGAGCUAGUACCGGAUAAUAUAUUGAACCGCAUGGUUCAAUGGUGAAAGACGGUUUUGCUGUCACUUAUAGAUGGAUCCGCGCCGCAUUAGCUAGUUGGUAAGGUAACGGCUUACCAAGGCAACGAUGCGUAGCCGACCUGAGAGGGUGAUCGGCCACACUGGAACUGAGACACGGUCCAGACUCCUACGGGAGGCAGCAGUAGGGAAUCUUCCGCAAUGGGCGAAAGCCUGACGGAGCAACGCCGCGUGAGUGAUGAAGGUCUUCGGAUCGUAAAACUCUGUUAUUAGGGAAGAACAAAUGUGUGAGUAACUAUGCACGUCUUGACGGUACCUAAUCAGAAAGCCACGGCUAACUACGUG